AAAAUAUUAGCUUAAAGAUGAAAGUGAUGAAUUUUUAAUUCAUUGAUGUAAAAACAUAUUUUA
This 63-nucleotide transfer RNA is filed under the name Hammerschmidtiella sp. ZengetLiu-2016. RNAcentral's name for it is "tRNA-Lys". Lineage: Eukaryota; Metazoa; Nematoda; Chromadorea; Rhabditida; Thelastomatidae. The record is from RNAcentral.